AGUAAGACUCGAUUCCACUUUCUUUACUCCGCGAUCUACUCCCUCCCUGCUCUGCAUUGCCUGCUUUUGGUCUGCCAAGUGCAAGAUUUCGCGUUUGCUCUGCUUUCCUGGCAUUCAACACUAGAAUCCCUCUUUUGUUUUUCUCAGGUGGCCUUUUGUCUUGAUCGCAGGUGGAACCAUUCCAAGCAUUCUAGGAUUGAAUUCCAGGGGACUAGCUGAGGGCUCGAUUCUGUCAGAAUGGCAGCCAGGAGUGGAGGCACUCGGCUCCACUGGCUCGCGGUGAUUCAAUUCGUGGCUUUGGUGGCAACCGUGGGCAAUGCUGCAACGCCCGCACUAGCAGAAGCUGAAGGAGGCGCUGAAACCAAGACUUACACUUACAGCUCUCCACCACCGCCAUCACCGGUUUACGAGUACAAGUCUCCCCCUCCGCCGGUCUAUGAGUACAAAUCGCCGCCCCCCCCUCCGCCGGUUUACAAGUACAAAUCGCCGCCACCUCCUCCGCCUUACUACUACAAAUCUCCGCCUCCGCCUCCUCCCUACAAGUAUGAAUCGCCGCCUCCGCCUCCCUACAAGUACGAGUCGCCGCCUCCACCACCGUACUACUACAAAUCACCUCCGCCGCCCCCAUACAAGUAUGAAUCGCCGCCGCCACCACCAUACAAGUAUGAAUCGCCGCCGCCACCACCAUACAAGUAUGAAUCGCCUCCUCCACCACCAUAUAAGUACGAAUCGCCACCGCCACCACCAUACAAGUACGAGUCGCCUCCUCCACCUCCGUACAAGUAUGAAUCGCCUCCUCCCCCACCAUACUACUACAAAUCACCACCACCACCUCCUUACAAGUAUGAAUCUCCCCCUCCACCUCCAUAUUACUACAAAUCUCCACCCCCGCCACCACCUUACUACUACAAAUCACCACCACCACCUUCUCCUGUCUACAAAUAUAAAUCUCCACCACCACCACCUUACAAGUACGAAUCUCCUCCUCCACCUCCAUACUAUUACAAGUCUCCACCACCACCGCCGUAUUACUACAAGUCUCCACCACCACCACCUCCAGUUUACAAAUACAAAUCUCCUCCUCCGCCACCAUAUUACUACAAAUCACCACCUCCUCCAUCACCAGUAUAUUACUACAAAUCUCCUCCUCCACCAGCGUAUUACUACAAAUCUCCCCCACCGCCUGUCUACUAUUACAAAUCCCCGCCACCUCCAGCUUACCACUACCAAUCGCCACCCCCACCAAGUUACAAGCUGGUAGUGGUCACGGGCAAGGUCUAUUGCAACAGAUGCUGGAACACCACAAGCAGAUACCUUCAGGCAUCACCACAUGGGUCUGCUAGGUACAUUCUCAAUUGCAUUGUAUUCGAUAUUGUUCUCCUCACUCAUUUCCUCUUGAUACUGUGUGCAAUAAUGCAGGUGGCAAAGUGAAGAUCACAUGUGGCGAAUCUUACUACUACGGCUACACCAACAAGCAUGGAAUCUUUAGAAUUGAGCUCCCGCACCAAUCCUGGGAAGAAGCAAGCAGCUGCAAGGCCAAGAUUAUCAAGAGCAGCUACAUCAAGUCGUCAUGCAAUGUCAUCACGGACUACAGGUCUGGUGCAACAGGGGCCAAGCUCAAGUUCAAAUCGAAAACAGAGAAGGAGCUCGUCUUGACAGCCGGUCCUUUCAUCUAUGCAACUCCAGAGCCAUCGUCAGUCUGCUUCUACACAUCACCUCCCUAUGAGUACAAGUCACCUCCGCCACCAACACCGGUCUACCAUUACGCCUCUCCGCCACCUCCGGUCUACUACUACAAAUCGCCACCUCCUCCUUCACCGGUUUACUACUACAAAUCCCCUCCUCCUCCUUCGCCGGUCUACUAUUACAAAUCCCCGCCUCCACCACCAUACUAUUACAAGUCCCCACCUCCACCUCCGCCUAAGUAUUACUACAAGUCGCCCCCACCACCGUCUCCAUACUAUUACAAAUCCCCGCCCCCUCCACCGUACUAUUACAAAUCCCCACCACCACCUCCCUACAAAUACGAAUCGCCGCCGCCUCCUCCUUACAAAUACGAGUCCCCACCUCCACCACCUUACUAUUACAAGUCCCCACCACCACCUCCAUACAAAUAUGAAUCCCCGCCACCUCCAGUCUACAAAUAUGAGUCUCCGCCACCCCCAGUUUACAAAUACAAGUCGCCACCACCACCAUACAAGUACGAGUCACCACCACCACCUCCAUACAAGUAUGAAUCCCCGCCACCUCCACCUUAUUACUACAAGUCCCCUCCACCACCACCAUACAAGUACGAGUCGCCACCACCUCCUCCGUACAAGUAUGAAUCUCCACCACCACCAGUUUACAAAUACAAGUCACCUCCGCCGCCACCUUAUUACUACAAAUCCCCACCGCCACCUCCAUACAAGUACGAGUCUCCACCUCCUCCUCCGUACAAGUAUGAAUCUCCACCACCACCACCUUAUUACUACAAAUCCCCCCCGCCACCUCCAUACAAGUACGAGUCACCGCCUCCUCCUCCGUACAAGUAUGAAUCUCCACCACCGCCAGUUUACAAAUACAAGUCACCCCCGCCACCACCUUAUUACUACAAAUCCCCGCCACCACCUCCAUACAAGUACGAGUCUCCACCUCCUCCUCCGUACAAGUAUGAAUCUCCACCACCACCUCCUUAUUACUACAAAUCCCCGCCGCCACCUCCCUACAAGUAUGAAUCCCCGCCACCACCUCCCUACAAAUACGAGUCACCUCCACCACCACCUUACUAUUACAAAUCUCCUCCACCGCCUCCAUACAAGUAUGAGUCGCCACCACCACCAGUCUACAAAUACGAGUCUCCGCCACCCCCAGUUUACAAAUACAAGUCGCCCCCUCCACCUUAUUACUACAAGUCUCCGCCACCCCCGCCAUACAAAUAUGAAUCCCCACCUCCACCUCCCUACAAGUAUGAAUCGCCUCCUCCUCCACCUUACUACUACAAGUCCCCUCCACCACCUCCCUACAAAUAUGAAUCCCCGCCACCACCUCCCUAUAAAUACGAGUCACCACCACCACCACCUUACUAUUACAAAUCUCCUCCACCGCCUCCAUACAAGUAUGAGUCGCCACCACCACCUCCCUACAAAUACGAGUCACCACCACCACCACCUUACAAGUAUGAAUCCCCACCUCCACCUCCGUACAAGUAUGAAUCACCUCCACCGCCUCCAUACAAGUAUGAAUCCCCUCCUCCACCUCCCUACAAAUACGAGUCACCACCCCCACCACCUUAUUACUACAAAUCGCCUCCGCCACCGGAGUAUCAAUCACCUCCUUACGUGUAUAAAUCUCCAC
RNAcentral lists this long non-coding RNA (3336 nucleotides) under Selaginella moellendorffii. RNAcentral describes it as "long non-coding RNA (SMOE_LNC002368)". Lineage: Eukaryota; Viridiplantae; Streptophyta; Lycopodiopsida; Selaginellales; Selaginellaceae. The record is from RNAcentral.